UCCUACGGGAGGCAGCAGUGGGGAAUUUUGGACAAUGGGGGAAACCCUGAUCCAGCCAUGCCGCGUGCGGGAAGAAGGCCUUCGGGUUGUAAACCGCUUUUGGUCGGAAAGAAAAGGCGCCACCUAAUACGGGGCGCUCUUGACGGUACCGGCAGAAUAAGCACCGGCUAACUACGUGCCAGCAGCCGCGGUAAUACGUAGGGUGCGAGCGUUAAUCGGAAUUACUGGGCGUAAAGCGUGCGCAGCGGUUCUCCAAGUCCGUUGUGAAAGCCCCGGGCUCAACCUGGGAAUGGCAGUGGAAACUAGGGGACUUGAAUCUGGCAGAGGGGGGUGGAAUUCCACGUGUAGCAGUGAAAUGCGUAGAGAUGUGGAGGAACACCGAUGGCGAAGGCAGCCCCCUGGGCUGAGAUUGACGCUCAGGCACGAAAGCGUGGGGAGCAAACAGGAUUAGAUACCCUGGUAGUCCACGCCCUAAACGAUGAUAACUCGAUGUUGGCGAUACACUGUCAGCGUCCAAGCGAAAGCAUUAAGUUAUCCACCUGGGGAGUACGACCGCAAGGUUGAAACUCAAAGGAAUUGACGGGGGCCCGCACAAGCGGUGGAGUAUGUGGUUUAAUUCGAUGCAACGCGAAGAACCUUACCUGGCCUUGACAUGUCUGGAAUCCUGCAGAGAUGCGGGAGUGCCUUCGGGAAUCAGAACACAGGUGCUGCAUGGCUGUCGUCAGCUCGUGUCGUGAGAUGUUGGGUUAAGUCCCGCAACGAGCGCAACCCUUGUCCUUAGUUGCCAGCACGUAAUGGUGGGAACUCUAAGGAGACUGCCGGUGACAAACCGGAGGAAAGUGGGGAUGACGUCAAGUCCUCAUGGCCCUUACGGCCAGGGCUACACACGUACUACAAUGGUCGGUACAGAGGGUUGCAAUACCGCGAGGUGGAGCCAAUCCCAGAAAGCCGAUCCCAGUCCGGAUCGAAGUCUGCAACUCGACUUCGUGAAGUCGGAAUCGCUAGUAAUCGCGGAUCAGCUAUGCCGCGGUAAAUACGUUCCCGGGCCUUGUACACACC
RNAcentral lists this ribosomal RNA (1059 nucleotides) under uncultured Dyella sp. Its description in RNAcentral is "bacterial SSU rRNA". It matches the Rfam family "Bacterial small subunit ribosomal RNA", at positions 337 to 1391 of the family's 1533-position model. The record is from RNAcentral. Lineage: Bacteria; Pseudomonadati; Pseudomonadota; Gammaproteobacteria; Lysobacterales; Rhodanobacteraceae.